Ictalurus punctatus (channel catfish) is the source of this 2208-nucleotide long non-coding RNA. Lineage: Eukaryota; Metazoa; Chordata; Actinopteri; Siluriformes; Ictaluridae. The record is from Ensembl.
GUUUACUAGUAUAUAAAACAAGUUCUUCAUUAGGAUCAAAUCAUCUUGUUGCUCUGUGGCUUUUUAAUCACUGUGCUCUUUUAAUGUGGCAGCUGACGUGAAACCGUUCAGGUUCAGAUGGCCAGUAACCUUCUCAACUACAAGGAACUGGGGUUGAUACCACUCUUUCUCUAAAGAUACAAAAAGUACAGAAACAUAAUACUUGAGCAAAAGUAAAGAGCUUUUAAGUAAAAAUGGAAAGAGCUACUAUAAACUUGUACUUAAGUGAAAUGUCAAGUGUCCAGACAAGAUAAACAAAUCUGAGUCAUGAGUAAAAUGAUUCAAACACUGACUGACUGCAUGAUAAAUGACAGAAUCUUGGGCAUAACUAAAACGAUUUACUGACUACAAUACUGAUUGGCUUAAUGACCAUUCAGGGAGUCUUGUUCAUGACUGAAAAGAUUCACUGACUCCAAUACUGAUUCAGUAAAUGACAAUUGAGUGGAUCCCAGUCAUGACUGAAAAGAAUUCUGAAAAGAUGGCUCAUGGAGUGCACAAAAGUAGGCUCGGCAUGCACACAACUACAACUCACAAAAUAUACAGAUAAACAUUUAUCCUGACUCUAUACAUGAAAGGAACGACUCUGUGCAUGGCAAUGAUGGUCAUAGAUUCACUGACCUUAGUGACAUAUCAUUCUAAACAUAUCUAAUGUUAACUUUUACAAGCAGAAAGGUGAGCAGCUAAGGGUUAAAGGUAUUGCAAAUUGGCCAAAACUGGGACUUGCAUUCUGGUCAUUAGUACAGAAACUUAAUUGCUGUGAUAAUGCUUGGCUACUUUUUCUCUCUCUCUCAGUCGCUUUUCACACCAGCUGGCAAAAAGACAUAGAUAUUCUGCCCAACGUGUGAGGUAUUUUUAUUUUUUUGCCACGCACUGAUGCAUUGAUGUUUUGCCAACCCCAUCCCUCAACAGCAGGAUAAAUCAUUGAAAGAAAGGAACAUUUACCAAAUUCACACUAGUAGGCAACAAGAGAAAUAAAAACAUGGCAAGCAAAGCAAUUUCAUGGAUAAACUAUUCAUCUGAGCUGGAAUCGAUGAGCAUUUUUAUUACAAUAUAAUACCAAAAACAUUUUCUCCUUCCUCAAAACCAGAACUUGUUCCUGAAUGAAAAAUCGCAUUCACACACAUCCAGUUAGAGAUGGGACAAUUUAAGGAGUCUCAGUCUGUGUGUGUGUGUAGUGCUACAAUUAUCUUUGGUUUCCAGAACAAAUCCCUGUUUUGAUUUUGCCAAAUGUGCUGUGCUCCCAUUGUGUCAAUAAGGACAGGGGUGCAAAAUAAUUUCCAAAACAUUAUAUACCAUGGAGCACAGUGAAUACCAUCAUCAACAAGUGGAGAAAAUGGGGCACCACAGUGGCAUUACUAUCCAUCCAUCCAUUUUCCAGACCAUUCAUCCUGCACAGGGUCACGCGGAGCCUGAAGCCUAUCAAAGGAAACUCAGGGCACAAGGUGGGGGACAACCUGGACAGGGUGCCAACCCAUCACAGGGCACAAUCGAACAAACAUUCAUACACUAUACACAAUUUGGAAAUGCUAAUCAGCCUACAACGCAUGUCUUUGGACUUGGGGAGGAAACUGGAGGACCCAGAGGAAAACCCGAAGUAUGGGGAGAACGUGCAAGCGCUGCGCAUGCAGGGUGGAGGAGGGAUUCGAUCCCCUAACCAUGCAGGUGUGAGGCAAAUGUGCCCACCAGUGGCAUUACCAAAAUUAUCAAGAUGAAACAUAUCAGGAAUCUGUCAGGAGACCUAUAGCAACAUUAAAGUAGCUGCAGGAAUAUCUGGCAAGUACUGGUCACUCCCUGGAUCUCUUAUAUUCUUCACAUGUCUGGGCUAUGGUAGGGUGGCUAGACUAGCCCGCCUAAAUCACCCCCAAACCAUGCGGCAAAACAUGUCAUGGUCUGAUGAGUACAAGGUAGAACUUCUCGAAUAAUUCUAAAUGAUAUGUAUGUUUGUUAAACCAGACAGUUUAACACUUGAAGAACACUAUACCUGUGGUGAAGCAUGGUGGUGGCUGCAUCAUAUUAUGGUGCUGCUUCUCUUCAGCUGGGACUGGGGCUUUAGUCAAGAUACAGGGAAUCAUGGAUAGCUCCAAAUUCCAACCUAUUGUGGCACAAAACUUGUAGGCCUCUAUUAAACAGCUGAAGAUGGAGAAACAUUUCACCUUCCAGCACGAUAAC